This 292-nucleotide unclassified non-coding RNA is filed under the name uncultured fungus. RNAcentral describes it as "partial contains small subunit ribosomal RNA, internal transcribed spacer 1, and 5.8S ribosomal RNA". The stretch from base 1 to 73 matches the Rfam family "Eukaryotic small subunit ribosomal RNA", at positions 1759 to 1831 of the family's 1831-position model. The record is from RNAcentral. Lineage: Eukaryota; Fungi.
GCAAACUUGGUCAUUUAGAGGAAGUAAAAGUCGUAACAAGGUCUCCGUUGGUGAACCAGCGGAGGGAUCAUUACCGAGUUUACAACUCCCAAACCCAAUGUGAACAUACCUCUUAUGUUGCCUCGGCGGGACCGCCCCGGCGCCCUUCACACGGCCCGGAACCAGGCGCCCGCCGCAGGGACCCAAACCUCUUGUUUUUUUUGUUAGAUUUCUCCUCUGAGUGGAUUUUUACAAAUAAAUCAAAACUUUCAACAACGGAUCUCUUGGCUCUGGCAUCGAUGAAGAACGCAGC